RNAcentral lists this ribosomal RNA (621 nucleotides) under Bacillus cereus. RNAcentral describes it as "bacterial SSU rRNA". It matches the Rfam family "Bacterial small subunit ribosomal RNA", at positions 118 to 724 of the family's 1533-position model. The record is from RNAcentral. Lineage: Bacteria; Bacillati; Bacillota; Bacilli; Caryophanales; Bacillaceae.
UGGGUAACCUGCCCAUAAGACUGGGAUAACUCCGGGAAACCGGGGCUAAUACCGGAUAANAUUUUGAACUGCAUGGUUCGAAAUUGAAAGGCGGCUUCNGCUGUCACUUAUGGAUGGACCCGCGUCGCAUUAGCUAGUUGGUGAGGUAACGGCUCACCAAGGCAACGAUGCGUAGCCGACCUGAGAGGGUGAUCGGCCACACUGGGACUGAGACACGGCCCAGACUCCUACGGGAGGCAGCAGUAGGGAAUCUUCCGCAAUGGACGAAAGUCUGACGGAGCAACGCCGCGUGAGUGAUGAAGGCUUUCGGGUCGUAAAACUCUGUUGUUAGGGAAGAACAAGUGCUAGUUGAAUAAGCUGGCACCUUGACGGUACCUAACCAGAAAGCCACGGCUAACUACGUGCCAGCAGCCGCGGUAAUACGUAGGUGGCAAGCGUUAUCCGGAAUUAUUGGGCGUAAAGCGCGCGCAGGUGGUUUCUUAAGUCUGAUGUGAAAGCCCACGGCUCAACCGUGGAGGGUCAUUGGAAACUGGGAGACUUGAGUGCAGAAGAGGAAAGUGGAAUUCCAUGUGUAGCGGUGAAAUGCGUAGAGAUAUGGAGGAACACCAGUGGCGAAGGCGA